GUGACCCCAGGUCAGGAAGGAUUACCCACUAAGGUUAA
Molecule: ribosomal RNA, 38 nt
Filed under: Carlowrightia arizonica
Lineage: Eukaryota; Viridiplantae; Streptophyta; Magnoliopsida; Lamiales; Acanthaceae
Description: partial 26S ribosomal RNA
Source: RNAcentral